GACAGAUGUGUUUCCUUCCCCAGAUGCUGAGGAGCUUCAAUUGUUCUGCAUAUGUAACGACUUUUUAUGGCUCCUUGCAAAUGCCUCUUCUGACUUUUAAAAAGGUGCCAAAGUCAAAUAUAGGUAGUUACUGUGAACGUUUUAGCAACAUCACCGGAAGCUCCAGCUGGCUAGAAAUCCUCUAUCAGAGGAUAAAUAGUAAGCAUACAUCCCUUUCCCAUUUCACAGAUGUCCCUCUUGGAAACCAGACUGUUGUAUCUCGAGAUUGCCUUUCCCCUGAGUAAAAGGAAGUAAGUUUGAGACUGUCUACUUUUUUUCAGGCUUCUCAGAUCAAGAAGAAUUGACCUUAAUUUUUUCUUGUUCAACCUAUUCGUAAAUAUCUACCAUGACUCGAAGGUACUUAUGGAAUAGAAUUACUUAUUAGUUGAGUAUUUAGACAUAUUUUCCCUGUAGUAUCUUUCAAAGAGCAGAUUUUAGUUUUCAGAACUCCAGGAUGGCUUCCAAAUUAAUAAUUUGUUCGUUUCUUAAAAUUUUUUCUUCCAAGAUCACAGGUGAGGGUUCUUCUGCAAGAAGAACAGUUUCAAAGCCUCUGAUUCUUGCCUGCUGGAAUAGCACGUGGUAGGACUGGCGCUGGGAGCAGGUCUAGACCAGUCCCAGCGGGCAGGAGACAGCACUCACUCAUCUGCAGGAUCCCAGCUCGUUCAACAAAAAAGCGAGAGUGGCAGAUGGAGGACAUGUUUUCAUCUUGUUGCAUCUUUAAACAGAUGGACCCUUUUUGAAAGACAUAAGCCCUGUUAUCAUUAAGAAUUAGAUCGUAGGAAAAAUAAAACUUAAAAAAUUCCAUACUUGACCAAUAAAGGGACUAACGCAGUAAUUCACACAGGGUUAAAAAGGACAUUUUUAGUCAUUUGAGAAAGCAUUACAAAAUGUGUAAAUCAAACUUACGUAUCCU
This 952-nucleotide long non-coding RNA is filed under the name Equus asinus (donkey). Its description in RNAcentral is "lncRNA (ENSEASG00005035643.1)". Lineage: Eukaryota; Metazoa; Chordata; Mammalia; Perissodactyla; Equidae. The record is from RNAcentral.